This is an unclassified non-coding RNA of Erinaceus europaeus (western European hedgehog), 321 nucleotides long. Its record names the gene 7SK. It matches the Rfam family "7SK RNA". From Rfam's summary of the family: 7SK was discovered as an abundant small nuclear RNA in the mid-70s but a possible function has only recently been suggested. NCBI's taxonomy places the organism in Eukaryota, Metazoa, Chordata, Mammalia, Eulipotyphla, Erinaceidae. The record is from Ensembl.
AUAUGUGAAGGUGAUCUGGCUGCAACAUCUAUCAACCCACUGAUCACCAGGGUUGAUUUGACUGAUCUGACUGGCUAGGUGAGAAUCCCCUUUCUCCCUCACCAUUCCAUGUGCUUCCCUCCUGAAACUGAGUGCUCAAUCAAAGAGGAUGCCCUUCCCCAAAUAGAGGUGGACUAGUCUUUGGCCAAGUAUAAACAAGUAGCUGUGCUUCCCUGUUACAACUUCCAAACAAGCUCCCACUAUAUUUACAUUUUUGUCAUUAAAAAGAAAAUGAAUAUCUCUAGACAUUGUAGAAAACUAGCUGUUAAAAGCAAAUGUGUU